Molecule: unclassified non-coding RNA, 285 nt
Filed under: uncultured fungus
Lineage: Eukaryota; Fungi
Description: sequence contains ITS2
Rfam family: 5.8S ribosomal RNA (bases 1-52)
Source: RNAcentral
AACGCACCUUGCGCCCCUUGGUAUUCCGAGGGGCAUGCCUGUUUGAGUGUCUUGAAAUCAUCAAGCCGUCGGGUUCGUUCCCGCGUCUUGGACUUGGGGGCUCUUGCUGCCGUGAGGCGGCUCCCCUUAAAUCCAUCGGUCGGCUCCUGCUUGAGCGCGUCCUGGCGUUGUACACACCUCGCUGGAUAAGCUGCCCUUGUGGACCGGCCCCGACCUGCUGCGGAGUGGCGGUCACAUACUUUGAAAUCUGACCUCAAAUCAGGUAGGACUACCCGCUGAACUUAA